UCCUUGAUUCUUUGGAUUGUUUUCUGUGUUUCUAUUUUGUUGAUUUCAACCCUCAAUUUGAUUUUUCCAGUCUUCUCCUCCUUGGACUGAAUGGCUGCGGGACCAGGUGGGACAGAAAUCACUUUCGACAGAAGGUUCCAUUGGAUGUUGAGAAGAUCCGAGAACUCACAAAUGGAGCAAUGUGUAUUUUAGCCAAACUGAGCUUCGGG
Chionomys nivalis (European snow vole) is the source of this 209-nucleotide long non-coding RNA. RefSeq lists it as uncharacterized. The record is from RefSeq and is a predicted model, not a curated record. NCBI's taxonomy places the organism in Eukaryota, Metazoa, Chordata, Mammalia, Rodentia, Cricetidae. The transcript is spliced from 3 exons.